UUGGAAAACUCACGUUAGAUAUUCUUCUGAGUUGGAUUUGCUGCCAACAAAUUCUCUUGGUUUACUGAGGUUGUUGCUGACUGCCUGGACCACCCAGCCCUGGCUCUUGAGGUCCCAACAGACCAGAUUUGGCCACCUGCUGCCUUCAGGAUCCAAUGAGAGAAAAGAAUGGCGGUGAAACAAAGAAGGGAUUCAUUUUUGGUGCAAUCAUCUGGAAAGACAGCAGGUCUACUGACCUCGUGAGAAAACUGCAUCUGAGGAAUGGACAGCAGCUUCAGGAUUAUACAACAGAACUACAGUAGGAGGCAAAAGUAUGCAGCCGGUCACUCUUGGUCACACUGGGGUACGUCCAGUCCCGCAAGGUCACACUGUCACCGAGGAAGAUAACUGCUUGCAAGUUUCUCUGUUCCUGAAGUUUGAGAGAAGGCAGAAGGAAAAAUGACUCAGAGAAAACAGGCCAGAGAAAAAUAGAGUUAGUUGGCCAUUUAGAAUGUAUAACAUCGAUACUCUCCAGCCCCUUUCCACUGGGUAAUUUACCCAACCCUCUGCUGCAGUGCCCAAGGAGGCAGCCAGACAUGAAGCAGGCAGGGUGGAGCCACCUUGGAAGCUCCCAAGAAAAAGCAGAGUCUUCAGGACAUGGGAGGAACCUCUGUGUCUCACUACCUUCUCCUCUGCAUGGGAAGACAGUGCAGAAUCCAGGCUGUCAUUAACACUCCACCUUACAAGUUUUCACAGACUAUAUUUCUUUUCCUUCCUUGCAGCUAAAUAAUGGCAUGUGACUGAUAGCCACUGAGCACUUUCAUGUUCGUGAUGUAACAAAGUAAAGAUUUUUAAAUGUUUGCUCUUUUAUUUUUGUUUGUUUGUUUGUUGAGACAGGGACUCAUUAUGUAGUUCACAAGGAGCACCUCACUACAUAGUUCAGGCUGGCCUUGAACUCCCAGCAAUUUUCUUGCUUCAGCCUACCAAGUGCUGGGAUCACAGGCAUGCACCACCAUGCCUGAAAAUUUUUAGUCUUCCUGAGACUUAAGAAGUUUCUGGAAUUUAAGGAUUGGAUUAAUCCAUUCUGGGAAAUUCCCAUAUAUAUUGGUAUUCAUAUACAUAUAUCCCAUAUAUUUUCAUAUAUUUUGGUACUGGGAAUCAAACUCAGAGCCUGGUGCUUGCCAGGCAGGCACUGUGCCACGGAGCUAUAUUCCCAGCCAGAAAACUGUAUUUAAAAUAUUGCUCAUCUCUUCUCGGC
Molecule: long non-coding RNA, 1237 nt
Filed under: Fukomys damarensis (Damara mole-rat)
Lineage: Eukaryota; Metazoa; Chordata; Mammalia; Rodentia; Bathyergidae
Description: lncRNA (ENSFDAG00000029309.1)
Source: RNAcentral